Molecule: long non-coding RNA, 293 nt
Organism: Brassica napus (rape)
Lineage: Eukaryota; Viridiplantae; Streptophyta; Magnoliopsida; Brassicales; Brassicaceae
Exons: 3
Source: RefSeq, a predicted model, not a curated record
GCACAGCCAUAAGAUCAGUUCUUGACUUCUUAAGACCCUCCUGAAGCUUGACAGACAAUCUCUGUAAGACUUGCCCUCUCUUUGCACUAGAACCAAACUACUCCAUACUUCUCCUUUCACUCCAUUUCUAUUCUUCAAGUUAACAUUCUAGAGCUUGCCCUAUCAUUGUACAAGCUCCAUCUUCUCUUCAGUUCAACACUCCCCCUCAAGCUUGACUUUAGGAGAUCCUAAGCCAAGCUUGGAACUCUGAAGAGUCUCCCUCAUUAAAAACCUUACAAGGAAAACCCAUUGGG